CUUACCGGGUCCGGACACACUGAGGAUUGACAGGCAAUAUUAUAAUAUUCUGUAAUACAUUCGUGUGUUCACAGUUAUUAUAUGUUAAAUAUGCUAGUCCUUUCAUGAUUAUGUGAUAGGUGGUGCAUGGCCGUUCUUAGUUNGUGGAGUGAUCUGUCUGCUUAAUUGCGUUUCACUAUUGGGUUCAUAUAAUUACGUAUGUUGUUGACGCUUUGACCCCUUUUUCUACGGAAAUUGCGCGUGUCUUAGUUUUUCGUUCAGCUCAUACAAUUGAACCCUGAAAGCAACGAACGUGACCGCAACCUCUUGUUGCUCUCAAUUUUGACAUACUGGCACUUGUGUCUAUUGUCAUGCUAUGAUUUCUCAUUUCAUUAUGACGAUUUCUUAGUUAAGAGAGCUUUCUAAACUAGAGGGACCGCUGUUACUUUCUUAAACCAGAGGCAAGGUUGCGGCAAUAACAGGUCUGUGAUGCCCUUAGAUGUUCCGGGCUGCACACGUGCUACAAUGAUUAUUGCAGUGAGCAUCUCAUUUUUUACACAUCGCAUGCGCGAGUACAAUUAUUCAUUGCUUCGGUAAUGCUUUAAUUGUGUACCUCUGCGCGCGAUAAAGCCUACUUCGAAAGUAAGCGGGUAAUCAAUUAGAAGUAAUGAUUUCCUAUUUUUUUCUGCACACAUAUAUAUGGCACAUAUACCCGGGUAGCCUUGUUGCUACUUCUGUGCGUAUCUGUGAUGAUUUGUAUUUUUACAUACAUCUCAUAUUACCAUAUGUGCAAUUGUCAAUUCAUGGUGGGGACAGACCAUUGUUAAUUGUUGGUCUCGGUCUUAACUAGGAAUGCCUUGUACGGAUCUUUGGUUCAACAAACCAUCCGGAAUACGUCCCUGCCCUUUGUACACACCGCCCGUCGCUCUUACCGAUGGACUUCUCUGUGAGUUUGAGGGACUGGUAUAUGAUUGUGUUCGCACCAUCGACACUAUAGAAACUUAAACGAACAGUGGGGUCUAAAGGAAAGAGAAGUCGUAACAAGGCAUCAGUAGGUGAACC
RNAcentral lists this ribosomal RNA (1041 nucleotides) under Globocassidulina sp. 409. RNAcentral's name for it is "bacterial SSU rRNA". It matches the Rfam family "Eukaryotic small subunit ribosomal RNA", at positions 1214 to 1815 of the family's 1831-position model. Lineage: Eukaryota; Foraminifera; Rotaliida; Cassidulinidae. The record is from RNAcentral.